AUGCCGUAAUAUCAGCAUGGCCGGAGUGCCACAACCCGAGCAAUUGCGCCCCUUUUCCCCCGCAAGGGGGUGGAGCCGUUUGUUCGUUUGUGAGCUACUUUGAGUAAAAUAGAGUGCCCCAAGCAGGUUUUCGCCUAAAUACAUCAGCAUAGAAUAGCACAAUACCCUUGGUCUUGGCUGGUCGAGAUCAAAGGAUGGAUUAAUAAGAACAGUCGUGGGCAAUGGUACUUCGGGGCUAGAGGUGAAAUUCUUGGAUUCUCGAAAGACCAACAAAAGCGAAGGCAUUUGUCAAGGAUGUUUCUGUUGAUCAAGAGCUAGAGCCCGGUGCUCAACGAAGAUUAGAUACCUUCUUAGUCCUAGCCCUAAACUAUGUCAACUCGGUGUCGGUCAUUUUAAUGGAAUUGAUCGGCGCCGUAAGGGAAACCAAAGUUUUCAGAUUCCUGGGAGAGUAUCGUCGCAAGUCAGAAAUCUAAAGGUAUUGACGGAAUAUUACACAAGGAAAGGAAUUUACGGUUUAAUUUGACUCAACGCGGGAAAGCUUACCAGAGCAAGACAUGAUCAGGAGUGACAGUUUAAGAGCGCUUUCACGAUUUCAUGAGUUGUGGCGCAUGGCCGUUGACGGUUCGUAAAGUCAUUCGUCUGGUUGAUUCCGAUAACGAACGAGACUUGGGCUCUUAAACUAGUGUUUUCGAAUUGCCAUGCCAUGCCAUGCCAAUGGUAUGGCGU
Molecule: ribosomal RNA, 726 nt
Filed under: uncultured eukaryote
Lineage: Eukaryota
Description: bacterial SSU rRNA
Rfam family: Eukaryotic small subunit ribosomal RNA
Source: RNAcentral